This 444-nucleotide ribosomal RNA is filed under the name uncultured bacterium. Its description in RNAcentral is "bacterial SSU rRNA". It matches the Rfam family "Bacterial small subunit ribosomal RNA", at positions 30 to 456 of the family's 1533-position model. The record is from RNAcentral.
GCGAACGCUGGCGGCGUGCCUAACACAUGCAAGUCGAGCGAGAAAGGGGUGGCAACACCCUGAGUAAAGCGGCGAACGGGUGAGUAACGCGUGGGCAAUCUGCCCUUCAGUCUGGGAUAACUUCUCGAAAGGGAGGCUAAUACCGGAUGAUGUCUCCUUGGGGCAUCCCGAGGAGAGCAAAGGGGGCGUCCGCAAGGGGCUCUCGCUGAAGGAGGAGCCUGCGUCCGAUUAGCUAGUUGGUGGGGUAAUGGCCCACCAAGGCGACGAUCGGUAGCCGGCCUGAGAGGGUGGCCGGCCACACUGGGACUGAGACACGGCCCAGACCCCUACGGGAGGCAGCAGUGGGGAAUCUUGCGCAAUGGGCGAAAGCCUGACGCAGCGACGCCGCGUGGGGGAUGAAGGCCUUCGGGUUGUAAACCCCUGUCGGGCGGAACGAAACCCCGA